This 1147-nucleotide ribosomal RNA is filed under the name Nelima similis. Its description in RNAcentral is "partial 16S ribosomal RNA". The stretch from base 795 to 1147 matches the Rfam family "Bacterial large subunit ribosomal RNA", at positions 2045 to 2634 of the family's 2925-position model. The record is from RNAcentral. Lineage: Eukaryota; Metazoa; Arthropoda; Arachnida; Opiliones; Sclerosomatidae.
UUAGGUUUAAGGUUUAAGUAAGAGUAUAAGGUUAAGAAAUAUAAUUUUUACGGGAUUAAAUUUUAUUAAAAAUUUAUGAAUAAUUUAAGUUAAAGAACUGUGAAGGGAUAAUAGGCUAUAUCAAAGUAAAAAAUUUUUGUACCUUUUGUAUCAGGGUUUGUUAAAUUUGUUGAUUUAUUUUAAUUUCCCGAAGAAAAGUGAGCUACCAAAUUGGUUUUUUAUUGUGGCAUAAAUAGAAUGAACUAGUAGGUGGGAGUGAGAUGCUAACGGACUUUUUGUUAUCUGGUUUUAAUAGAAAUAUAUUAGUGUAGUAUAAAUUAAUGAUUUAGUUUGUAUUAAGGAUAUUGGGGUUAAGCUCAAUGUUUAAAUUUUUAUAUUAUAAAAUAGGUUUGGGUAAGUUAGGUCUAAUAGUGGCUUUGUGUUUAAUAACAUAUAGUAUUUUUGUUAAGAUUAAUAAGGUAUGUUAGAGUUUAGCUAAAUUUAUAGUAAUAGUAAUAAUGAUAAAAUUAGUAGAAGAUGAGUAAAGUAUCUUUGAUAUUUGGUUUCUGGAUAAUUUAUUUAUGUUGGGUAUAGUAAGGCACCAUAAAGGAACUCGGCAAUAGGGUUCUUUAACUGUUUAUCAAAAACAUUUUUUUAAGACUAGAUGAGUUAAAGUAAGUUCUGCCCACUGAUAAUAUUAAAGGGCCGCAGUAGCCUGACUGUGCUAAGGUAGCAUAAUCAUUAGGUUUUUAAUUGGGAUCUGGAAUGAAUGGAUUAAUAGGGAAUUACUGUCUAUAUGGUGGUUCUUGAAAUUAAAAUUUUGGUAAUAAUGCUAGAAUGAUCUUGUGGGACGAUAAGACCCUAUAAAGCUUUAUUAUUUUCUUUGUGAAUAUUUUUGCUAGCUUUAUUAGGUGGAUAAUUUGACUGGGGCGGUUUCUAUCUAACUUAGAUUUUCUUAUAAAGUUUAUAGAUCCACUAUUAGUGAAUUAAGAUUAAGUUACUUUAGGGAUAACAGCACAAUAUAUUUAUGGAGUUCUAAUCGAAGAGUAUGUUUGUGACCUCGAUGUUGAAUUAAUUUAAUUUUAGGGUGAAGUAGCUUUAAAAAUUAGUCUGUUCGACUAUUGAAUAAUUACGUGAUUUGAGUUCAAACCGGUUUGAGCCAGGUUGG